This 218-nucleotide unclassified non-coding RNA is filed under the name Pseudomonas jinjuensis. RNAcentral's name for it is "Pseudomonas sRNA P29". The record is from RNAcentral. Lineage: Bacteria; Pseudomonadati; Pseudomonadota; Gammaproteobacteria; Pseudomonadales; Pseudomonadaceae.
AAGCUACUGGGGGAGCCGAAGCUCCCCCCCAAAUAGGUGCGUGCUUUUAUUUUUAUUAUUUGCCGGGCUUGUUGUUCUUGUUUGUCUACCCGUCCCGCGAGGCCAGUCGCCUCGGGGUUCCCCAGUUGUGGGGAUGUGAAUAGUUAACGGAUUGCUUUGGUCGCUGAGCUACGGCGAUCUUGCGAUCCAACCAGUUUCGUCGCUGCCUCGGGGCAGUU